This is a long non-coding RNA of Oncorhynchus nerka (sockeye salmon), 1734 nucleotides long. RefSeq lists it as uncharacterized. The transcript is spliced from 2 exons. Lineage: Eukaryota; Metazoa; Chordata; Actinopteri; Salmoniformes; Salmonidae. The record is from RefSeq and is a predicted model, not a curated record.
UGAGCGAGGGAAAGGGUAGAGGGAGCGAGAGACUGACUGACCAGGAGAAAAGAUGUUUAGGGACCUGGAGAGAAGACGAGAUUUCCAAAUGACAUCAGUUUGACCGGUUGUAAGGAAAUAGAAAGCUGUGACUGUCGAAUUGUAACAGCCCAGCACUGCGAUCAUCCUCUUUUACCGCUUCACCAAAUCUUUCCCGAACGUUACUGUUCUGGCCCAUCCUCUUCAACGCUCCAUUUCACAGUUUUUCUCUUAUUGAAUUCAACUCUGACAGUGUCCUGUUUGCCUCCAUGGAUAGAUGUUAACUAUUUGGCGAUUUGCGCAUAGGCUAUUUGGUGUGCAUACAUUUAGGCCCAAGCUUACGCACUAAUGCCAGAUAGCCUAAAAUAAUAAACUUAGCUACAUGGCCAAUAGCAAUUUAUAACCUCCCUCUUACCUUCAGUGGUUGCUCCACUAAAUGUUUUGAGAUUAUGCUGCGGGACAUUUGUGGUUUAGUAUGGUACUACUUCAUUGCUCCAGACCAGUGCAAGGGGGAGUUAGAGCACUGAUUAUGCUUACCGGGUCCUACUGUGUCUCUAACUAAAAAUGAAUUGGUGACAUAAACCUAAAUAGAAACUGAUAAUUGUGCAUGACUUCAGUAUUACUUACUAACACCGUUGUAACAACUAAGGUUUUCAUUUAAAAAUUUUGUUAGGAUUAUUUUGCUCUUGCUGAAGAAUGUGUUCUUAACUGACUUGCCUAGUUAAAUAAAAGUGUAAAAAAUAUAUAUUAUAUAUUAUAUAUAUAUUUUUAAAUCUGUGUACAAAAAUACAGAUUUCCGAUUGUUAUGAAAACUUUAAAUCGGCCCCAAUUAAUCGGCCAUUCCGAUUAAUCAGUCGACCUCUAGUUAGGACCAUAACCACGAGAGGACUUGAAAAUGAGCCGGAGCUGAGAGGAUCACCAAAACUAAAGGUAUUUUGGUUUUUAGUGAUUUUUCUUUAAAAAAAAUGUAUAUAGCCCAUCAUUGUGUAAUAAAAUCGAUAAUUAAAUAAAGGUUAAAUAAAAUAAAAAAGUUCUAUAUUGUGUACUAAAAACUAGAAUGUAUUUUUUGCAGAACAUACAACCAUGCUGAAAAUCAUCCGUGGAGACCAGUUGACAAAGGACUGGACAUGGGCCGAACCUAGAAAACACAUGGUUGCCAAGAAAGCGGCCACUGUAAUCGAUGGGGGCUCAGAGUGGUACCAUUCUGCUCAUCUGGUGAAGGUGCACAUGGAUCAGAUUCAAAUUUUGAAGACCGAGAUCGGGCCAUUGAAGGCAGACCAGCAGAAAGAGAAACAUUAUCUGAGAGCAGAGAUACGGGCAACAGCUGAUACAUUUGUUCAGAGCCAGGCGGCAUUGGCGGAGAUUCAGGUUUUUAGGAAUGAGAUGGCGUCACAAUCCAUGCCAGGCACACCUGUGAGCUCUGGAACUCCACCUCCAACAGGCAGAGUCAACAUACUUUGCGGGUUCAUCAGGUCGUCGGUUCACCCUGACAUUUCCAGUCCUCUUCUGACAACAGAACUUGACCAACUGCUCACCAGGCACAGCAAGGGCCGUCUGGACCGUUACGCUGUUCUGCUAUAGCCUAAUAAACAAAUACAGGUGGCUUAUCUUCAAAAUGCUUUAUUAUCCAAAUGUAAAUGCAUGUACUGUAUUUAUUCAUCAAAGUAAUUUAGCAUUCGUUAAUAUAAUAUUUAAAUAAAAAAAACUAUUUCAAAA